AUGGCGGCGACCUCGCCAGCGCCGAUGAGGGCCGUCGCCGCCGCGUUUACCCCGCCUCCGUUAUCUCAGAGGAUCACCCGUAUCUCUACCGUGUCUGCCCUCCGCGUUCACCAAUGCCACGCAGCUCACCGGUGGCGCCCUGCACAGUGCCGCGGGAAGCCGACCGUGAGUGGCGUGGUCGAGGACGACGAUGAGGAUACUUCGCGGGAGGCUUUAAAUCCUGAGGAAAAAGAGGAGGAGUCUGCAGGCGCGGGGAGCUGGGGGCUGGGGUGGUUCAGGCUUGAUGAGGUUGGGAUGGACAUCCUGGGCAUCGCCGUGCCCGCCGUGCUUGCACUCGCCGCCGACCCCGUCACGGCGCUCGUUGACACCGCCUUCGUCGGACAUAUCGGCUCGGUUGAACUUGCUGCCGUUGGUGUAUCUAUAUCUGUUUUCAACCUGGUGUCCAAGCUGUUUAAUGUGCCACUGCUCAAUGUCACCACAUCCUUUGUUGCUGAGCAGCAAGCAGUGGAUGCCAAGUAUAGCGGCGUAGGAGAAAGAGAUGAAGUGUCGAGUACACGAGAGCAGGCGAGUGAAAAAAGGAAGUUUCUCCCAGCGGUGUCAACAUCCUUGGCUUUAGCUGCUGGAAUCGGGUUGAUGGAAAUGGCGGCACUUAUUAUUGGAUCUGGCACACUAAUGGACAUCGUUGGUAUACCUGUCGAUUCACCGAUGCGAGCACCGGCAGAACAGUUUCUUACUUUAAGGGCAUAUGGUGCUCCGCCAGUCGUAGUAGCACUUGCAGCACAAGGUGCAUUUCGGGGUUUCAUGGAUACAAAGACACCUUUGUAUGCUGUGGUUGCUGGCAACCUAGUAAAUGCAAUACUGGAUGCCAUAUUUAUCUUCCCACUUGGUCUAGGUGUAAGUGGCGCUGCAUUGGCAACUGUAACUUCUGAGUACUUGGCGGCAAUCAUCCUCCUAUGGAAGCUGAAUAACGAACUAGUCCUGUUUUCAUGGAAUGUCAUUGGCGGUGACAUCAUCCGCUACCUGAAAUCUGGUGCUUUGCUAAUUGCCAGGACCAUCGCAGUAAUCCUUCCAUUAUGGCUGUCGACAUCCCUCGCCGCAAGACAAGGGCCUGUUCCAAUGGCUGGCUAUGAGAUAAGCUUGCAAGUCUGGCUAACAAUUUCUCUACUUAAUGAUGCACUGGCUCUUGCUGGUCAGGCUCUGCUUGCGAGUGAAUAUGCGAAAGGGAACUACAAGCAGGCCCGCUUGGUUUUGUACAGGGUUCUGCAGAUUGGAGGCAUCACUGGUCUUGCACUUGCUGCAACCUUGUUCCUUGGGUUUGGAUAUUUGACCUUGCUGUUUACAGAUGAUCCAGCAGUUCUAGAUGUUGCGCAGUCUGGAGUCUGGUUUGUCACUAUUACUCAGCCGAUAAAUGCUAUUGCUUUUGUGUUCGAUGGGCUCUACUACGGUGUUUCUGACUUCGGCUAUGCCGCAUACUCUACGCUUUUCGCGGGGGUCGUCGCCUCAGCCUUCCUCCUUGUCGUUGCUCCCAACUUUGGUCUUGGUGGUGUAUGGGCUGGUCUUACUCUCUUUAUGGGUCUGCGAGCAGUUGCUGGGUUCUGGAGGUUAGGGAGCAAAGGUGGACCAUGGGAAAUAGUCUGGUCAAAGACUGAUUAA
This 1653-nucleotide ribosomal RNA is filed under the name Triticum aestivum (bread wheat). RNAcentral's name for it is "partial small subunit ribosomal RNA". Lineage: Eukaryota; Viridiplantae; Streptophyta; Magnoliopsida; Poales; Poaceae. The record is from RNAcentral.